GAUGGUUAGCUGGUCUGAGAGGAUGAUCAGCCACACUGGAACUGACACACGGUCCAGACUCCUACGGGAGGCAGCAGUGAGGAAUUUUGCGCAAUGGGGGAAACCCUGACGCAGCAACGCCGCGUGAGUGAUGAAGGCUUUCGGGUCGUAAAGCUCUGUCAAGUGGGAAGAAACCACGAGGUGAUAAUAUCGCUUUGUGCUGACGGUACCACUGAAGGAAGCACCGGCUAACUCCGUGCCAGCAGCCGCGGUAAUACGGGGGGUGCAAGCGUUAUUCGGAAUCAUUGGGCGUAAAGGGCGCGUAGGCGGUUUGUUAAGUCAGAUGUGAAAGCCCGGGGCUCAACCCCGGAAGUGCAUUUGAUACUGGCGGACUUGAGUAUGGGAGAGGGAAGUGGAAUUCCUGGUGUAGAGGUGAAAUUCGUAGAUAUCAGGAGGAACACCGGUGGCGAAGGCGACUUCCUGGACCAAUACUGACGCUGAGGCGCGAAGGCGUGGGUAGCAAACAGGAUUAGAUACCCUGGUAGUCCACGCAGUAAACGGUGAUCACUAGGUGUAGCGGGUAUUGACCCCUGCUGUGCCGCAGUUAACGCAUUAAGUGAUCCGCCUGGGGAGUACGGCCGCAAGGUUAAAACUCAAAGGAAUUGACGGGGGCCCGCACAAGCGGCGGAGCAUGUGGUUUAAUUCGACGCAACGCGAAGAACCUUACCUGGGUUUGACAUCUCGGGGAUUUUUUGGAAACAAGAAAGUGCCCUUCGGGGAGCCCGAAGACAGGUGCUGCAUGGCUGUCGUCAGCUCGUGUCGUGAGAUGUUGGGUUAAGUCCCGCAACGAGCGCAACCCUUAUCUUUAGUUACCAUCACUUCGGGUGGGGACUCUAAAGAUACUGCCCCGGUCAACGGGGAGGAAGGUGGGGAUGACGUCAAGUCCUCAUGGCCUUUAUGCCCAGGGCUACACACGUGCUACAAUGGGCGAUACAAAGGGUAGCGAGCCUGCGAAGGUGAGCCAAUCCCAAAAAGUCGUUCUUAGUUCGGAUUGGAGUCUGCAACUCGACUCCAUGAAGCUGGAAUCGCUAGUAAUCGCGGAUCAGCACGCCGCGGUGAAUACGUUCCCGGGCCUUGUACACACCGCCCGUCACACCAUGAGAGUUGGUUGUACCAGAAGUUGUUGGGCUAACCCGCAAGGGAGGCAGGCACCUAAGGUAUGGCUGAUGAUUGGGGUGAAGUCGUAACAAGGUA
This 1233-nucleotide ribosomal RNA is filed under the name metagenome. RNAcentral describes it as "bacterial SSU rRNA". It matches the Rfam family "Bacterial small subunit ribosomal RNA", at positions 278 to 1498 of the family's 1533-position model. The record is from RNAcentral.